This 301-nucleotide ribosomal RNA is filed under the name uncultured bacterium. Its description in RNAcentral is "partial 16S ribosomal RNA". It matches the Rfam family "Bacterial small subunit ribosomal RNA", at positions 509 to 807 of the family's 1533-position model. The record is from RNAcentral.
CAGCCGCCGCGGGAAUACGAAGGGGGCUAGCGUUGCUCGGAAUGACUGGGCAUAAAGGGCGCGUAGGCGGCCAUUCAAGUUAGAUGUGAAAGCCCUGGGCUCAACCUAGGAAUUGCAUUUGAUACUGUUUGGCUUGAGUUCGGGAGAGGUGAGUGGAAUUCCCAGUAUAGAGGUGAAAUUCGUAGAUAUUGGGAAGAACACCAGUGGCGAAGGCGGCUCACUGGACCGACACUGACGCUGAGGCGCGAAAGCGUGGGGAGCAAACAGGAUUAGAUACCCGAGUAGUCCCUGUCUCUUAUAC